RNAcentral lists this long non-coding RNA (2041 nucleotides) under Homo sapiens (human). RNAcentral's name for it is "non-protein coding lnc-E2F2-2:1". The record is from RNAcentral. Lineage: Eukaryota; Metazoa; Chordata; Mammalia; Primates; Hominidae.
GUUUUAUUUAGUACACAGGCAAGCAGCAUAAUCCAGUUUGUAUUUUAGAAAGAUCAUAUCAGUUGCUGUAUGGAAACUAGAUUGGAAGGGCCAGGAGAGGACCCAAGGAGGCCAUUCUGUUAUUUAGGGAAGAGAUGAUGGUGGUGUGGAUCGGGUUGUGGUUGGUGGAGGAGGAGAGAAGUGCACAGAUUGUAGAAGUGUUUUAUAAGCAGUCAAGAUUUGUCGAUGGAGUACAUGUGGGCAGUGCUCAAGAUUGUGUCCCACAUUUCUUUUUUUCUUUUUUUUUUUUGUUUGAUUGGGAUGGAGUCUCACUGUAUUGCCCAGGCUGGAGUUCAGUGGCACCAUCUCGGCUUACUGCAACCUCCACCUCCCGGGUUCAAGCGAUUCUCCUGCCUCAGCCUCCCAAGUACCUGGGGCUACAGGCGCCCGCUACCACACCCAGCUAAUUUUUGUAUUUUUAAUAGACAUGAGGUUUCACCAUGUUGGCCAGGCUGUUCUCAAACUCCUGACCUCAAAUGAUCUGCCCGCCUCAGCCUCCCAAAGUGCUGAGAUUACAAGUGUGAGCCACUGUGCCCGGCCUUAAAUUUCUGAUGGAAGGGUGCCAUAUACCGAGAAGGGGAAAUCUGGCAGGGGAACAGGUUUGGGGAGAAAUCAAGAAUUCUAUUUUUUUUUUUAAUUUUUUGUUUUUUAGAGACAGGGUCUCCUUCUUUUGCCCAGGCUGGAAUGCAGUGGUGCAGUCAUAGCUCACCACAGCCUUGAAUUCCUGGGCUUAAGCAAUCCUCGUGCUUCCACAGGCACAUGCCACCACAUCCAUGCUAAUUUGUUUCUUCUCUUGGUAAAGAUGAGGUCUCGCUGUGUUGCCUAGGCUGGUUUCAAACUCUUGGGCUUAAGUGAUCCUCUUGCCUUGGCCUCCCAAAAUGUUAGGGUUACAAGCAUGAGCCACUUGUGCCUGGCCAAGAAUUCUAUCUGUAUAUCUUUAUAGGUCUUGAGACAUCCAAGUGGAGAUGUCAAGAAGGCAGUAUGUGAGUUUGGAAUUCAAAGGAGCGGGCUGGAGAUACACAUUUGAGAGCUGUUAGCAUCGAGACCGUGGGUUUCAAACCUGCAUCUGUGUCAGAAUCACUUGGCGUCAUUCCCAGAGAGUAUGAUUCAGUGGUGGUAUCUUAGGCUUUUUAUGGCAAGCAAGAGAAACCAUCCUGAGCUGAUUUAAGCAGAAAAGGGCUGCACUGAAAGGGAAUGUUCAGUAGUUCACAGAAUUUCUGGGAAGUUGGAAAACUGGGGCUGGGCAGCAGGCAGGAUCUCAGCCAAAAUCAUGCCACCGAGCCAGUUUGGCAGGACACUGCUGCCACACACUAAAUGCCAUCGCUGUGUCACUGUUCCCUGAACACUAGACACCAUUGCUGUGGUUGCCACCAGCAUUGGAAUGGAUCUUCCACUGUGCUCCUGAUUCAAAGUCUGUAGUGAGGGCUUCUGAUUGGUUGAGCUUAGGUGUAAGGGAGGCUGGAAAAGCAAGAAUUUGUUGUUUUCAGCUUUCACAGGAGGUGAACUCUGCCAAGACCUGUGCAGUGAGGAAGUCCCCAGACAUAGGAAGGAGGUCAGAUGCCAGACUGGCACACAAUGACAGAUGUACUUGACAGCAAGUUUGCCAGCUUGUGGGAUUGUCUGGGAAUCUGCAUUUAAACCAGCACCCUGGAAAUUCCCAUGCAGGUGCUGCCUGAACCACAUUUGCAUCCAUUGCUUGAACUGGUACUUAAAGCUGUGGGGGCUGGGCGCGGUGGCCCACACCCGUAAUCCCAGCACUUUGGGAGGCUGAGGCAGGGGGACCACUUGAGGUCAGGAGUUUGAGACCAGCCUGGCCAACAUGGCGAAACCCCGUCUCACUAAAAAUGCAAAAAAUUAGCCGGGCGUGGUGGCACGCACCUGUAGUCCCAGCUAUUCGGAGGCUGAGGCAGGAGAAUCGCUUGAACCCGGGAGGUGGAGGUUGCAGUGAGCCGAGAUUGCGCCACUGCACUCCAGCCUGGGUGAAAGGGCAAGACUAUGUCUC